UGGAGGUUUAUUGUUGUCUUUCAAGUCUCGAGUUGUGGGACAUAACAAUAGAGAGAUGAGAUCUAAACCCAACCCGUUGACCAAAAAAAAACAACCCUAAGAUUUGGUCUUCAAAAUUAUAUUUACGGGUUGUGCUAAAGAUUGUAUUAGUAAGAUUGGGUUUCCUUGGGUUCUAUAAGCGAGUUUUAGUGAUCUAAAUCCAACCCUAAGAUUUGAUCUUCAAGUGUCAGCCUCAGAUCCCUCUUAAACCACUUCAGACAGCUACAAUAUCAACCGCAAAGCAUAGCCUUCACCACCGCACAAGUCAUUCCUCAAACCUAACCUUCAGUACCAUCACACAAGUCGUUCCCAAAACCGUAACCAGCAUCUUUAGCUUAUCAAAUGGGUACAAGUUCUACGUUGGUGGGAGAUAUGGUUGGGUCCUUACUCCUUCCGAGGAUUAUUCACAUUGGUCUCACCGGAACAGUUUUCAAGUCAACGACACUCUUUGUAAGCCUCUUUCUUCUCUAAUAUUAUUGUACACAUUAAUCAGAGUAUUUAAUUUUACUUGACUGGAAGGCGAUCAUGUGGCCUGUGUUAAUAUCGAAUACUCUGAUCAACUCUAUUGUACAUGCAUAUGUUCUGGAGUUGAACUCUGUAACCUGUCUCGUAUUUUUUAUAUUAAUCAGAGUAUUUAAUUUUAAAUGAUCAUACUGGUUUUGUGUUUAAUAUCAUUCCCAUACGUACAUGUAGACGUUAUACGGUUAUA
This is a long non-coding RNA of Raphanus sativus (radish), 748 nucleotides long. RefSeq lists it as uncharacterized. The transcript is spliced from 3 exons. Lineage: Eukaryota; Viridiplantae; Streptophyta; Magnoliopsida; Brassicales; Brassicaceae. The record is from RefSeq and is a predicted model, not a curated record.